GAAAACGGAACAGGGGACCCACGGCAACAUUAGGUUGCGCAUGUGUAACAAGCUGUGAAAACGAAACACAUCUCAGGACAGAAUCAGCGCCCGGGCGGUGGCGUGGGACUUCAGCGAGCGAAGCAGUGAAACCUACCAGAACUGGAGGCACCGUGGUGGGAAAUAUGGCGCUAUCGCUGGGUCCCAAAAGGAAGCCUUGAUCCAAAAUGCUUUCAUCCUGCUUACUGCAAAACGACGAGGAGUUGAGAGACACCAACACCGGCUCCUCCUGUGGCCAGAAGAAAAGGCACCACAUGGCAGUCCAUGACAUCCAGGGCCAAAGAUUUCCGCACUUUCUUCAUAGGAGGCCGAUGCUGGGAAGAAAAACAACAAUUGAAAGCUGAGUUAACAGCUUCAACCAGAACGUCAACAAAGAAGUCACGGUCUAAAGAUACAACAGGUUCGGGGUCUGAGGCUGAGACAACACAGCGGAGCAAAGAUCGUCAGUGCUGCAGUGGUGAAGCCGUGAGGCGGACCCAUCCCUCCCCGCUGAGCGGCGCGGAUACUCACCAGCGGCUGCAGCGGCCCGUACUUCUCCAUGGCGUUCUUGAACGGCGUCGGAGUCCGCGGGGUCGAACAGAGGUCAGACUUGUGGUUGGGUGUGACGAAUCUAAAAUGAAGACGAAAGGCGAACACACAGACACGUAAGCUUGAAGCCAGCGAUACAUCGAAUUCAGGCCUCAUUUGUGUUCACAACAUACAAACUCUAAAUGAGACGAAAAGAUACAUCAACAGAUUCGAUGCGCUGGCGGUUCAUCACACGCACAACACUGGUGUUACAGAGCAAUGUCGGUUUCAAACUGGGACCGUUACAAAGCCAGUUAAAAGCUUCUCACGGAAACAGAUAUUUUGUUCAUUCCAAACUGGAUCCAAAAUGCAACAAGCUACCGGGAGCAAACGCUUGAGACCACUCACGCAGAGU
Long non-coding RNA from Pungitius pungitius (ninespine stickleback), 961 nucleotides. RefSeq lists it as uncharacterized. The transcript has 4 exons. Lineage: Eukaryota; Metazoa; Chordata; Actinopteri; Perciformes; Gasterosteidae. The record is from RefSeq and is a predicted model, not a curated record.